GAUGAACGCUAGCGGGAGGCUUAACACAUGCAAGUCGAGGGGCAGCAUAGGGCAGCAAUACUCUGAUGGCGACCGGCAAACGGGUGAGUAACGCGUAUGCAACCUACCCUGUACAGGGGGAUAACCCGGAGAAAUUCGGACUAAUAUCCCGUAAUAAUAUCCGGAGGCAUCUUUGGAUAUUUAAAGUUCCGACGGUACGGGAUGGGCAUGCGUAACAUUAGCUGGUUGGUAAGGUAACGGCUUACCAAGGCUAUGAUGUUUAGGGGUCCUGAGAGGGUGGUCCCCCACACUGGUACUGAGACACGGACCAGACUCCUACGGGAGGCAGCAGUCGAGGAAUAUUGGUCAAUGGGCGCAAGCCUGAACCAGCCAUCCCGCGUGCAGGAAGACGGCCCUAUGGGUUGUAAACUGCUUUUCCAGGGAGAGAACUUACGCACGUGUUGCGUGACUGACGGUACCCUGGGAAUAAGCAUCGGCUAACUCCGUG
Molecule: ribosomal RNA, 487 nt
Filed under: uncultured bacterium
Lineage: Bacteria
Description: bacterial SSU rRNA
Rfam family: Bacterial small subunit ribosomal RNA
Source: RNAcentral